AGCCCGCGCCGCCGCGCCGAGAGGCGGCGGGGGCGGCCGCGGCCUGGCGCCGCCUCCUCCCCGGGGCGCGCCAGGAGCCGAGGGGCGGCGGGCGCCAUGCCGGCCGUAAACGGUAACGGGCAGGAAGAGCUGUAACAGAGGAAAGGCCCGGCUGCCUUUUUCUCUUCCUUUCUCUCCUACUGCCCUUCAUAGGGCCGGGGACUGCGGCUACGGUCAAGGAGCAGCGCUGCGAAGAGCACCCCCUUCCCCCCCAUACGCUUUGCAGAAACCUAAAACAAAGAAACCUGUCUCAGGUUAAUAAGAAAAUCUGAAGUUACUGAUUGAAGAGUUGCUUGGACAUUAAACUGCUAAAUUAAAUCCUGUUAAACAUCUGUGGAAACUGAAGUCCUAGUCUUACCCUACCAACAUGUUGAAUUCAGCUUAAUUUUUCAACAAAGAAGCAUCAGCAGUCCCUUCUAGCAAAGAAGCUGCUCAGUUUUUGGGAGGAAGAAGAACAGGAUAGAGUAACCUAGAAUCAGCAUUGUUCUUUAUUCUUACUCAGCUCUGAAGCAGAAUUUUAAGCAAUCCUCUUUGGACUUUUACCACUCUGUCCUUAGAAGGAUACCAAAUGAAACAAUCCUUUUUCACAGCAUGCAAGAAGCCCUUCUCUACCAAACAUCCAUAACUAGAGUUCUCUGAACACUAAGAGUAUGAGAUUACUCCCAUACUUUAGGGCUGAUAGCUGGUAUAGGCACCUUUUCAUCCAGAGAGACUGGGAAUCAGACAUCUCCAAUGGACUUCUAUCCAACUCCAACAUUUCUCAGGGAUCACUAUUUACUUUUAGUAAGUAUUUCCAUGGUGGGAAAGGAAGCAUUGUAAAUUUCGUUAUUCUAGAUAGUUGUGGGAUUGACUGUAGUGGCCUCUAGGACUAUAGCUUAGAAACUUCUCAUGCAGAAGUUAAAGUUGUCUCUUUACCUCCUGAAAAAAAGAAAAGUGGGGGAGGGGGGGAAGAGACAGACCUAAACUCUGAAAGACCGAGAAAUGCUCUUCUAUCCAGCUCUCCUUUCCUUUAGUGGUGUGGAGUUCUCUGAGAACACCUGCAGAGGAAAAGUCACCUAUUCUGAUCUGAGUUAAUGGGAGAAGUUUGGAAGCAUUCCCAACCUUGCACUGAUGGGUAUGUACUCUUUUCCCAAAACGGGAUCAAACAAAAGUUCUACAGAACAAGUUGGCACUUUAUAGUCUUCAUUUGAUCCUAGGAGGAGACAGCAUGGCCCACACUUUAAAACUGGAUUGUGUCAUAACAGUUACCAGCAAUCAUGUAUUACCGUAGUGCUAUGCCAGGUCCUUCUAGCAGCACACCAUAAUCACGGGAGAUUUGUUUAGUGAGAUCUGACAGAACUGGAAUAUUCAUAUGGCCCAAGCCGCCACUCUAGUGAAAACAGAAUAAGAUACCAUUUUAUCACCAAAUGCUUUUUAAAGAUUAUCCUUUAGAUGACUGGAUUCAGUGCUCUUGAAGAUAUACAAAGAAGAAAAAAAACAUUCAUUCCAUUUUCACCAUGAAAGAAACCAUAUGGGGGAAGUUUUUUAAGCACUCAGGAACACUUCAUCUGUUUGGAACAGGAAAACUUUUUUUGCACUGAGCAUUUUAGAGUUGCUUAUUUUGGUGGUAAAGGACUAAGACAACAACAACGAAAUUUCAGAAAGAUUUCCUUUGUUCCCUAUGCAGGAGUUUUGAAUAUAAAGUUUUCUACUGCAUAUGUAAGUGCUCAAAAUUAAAUGAGAUGAACGUGGUGAGAAGGAAAGGGAAAACAUAUAUAUAUGAGACAAAACACUGGCCAACAUCCAUACCAAAUAUGUCAGAGUUUUGCUGUUCUCUACUUAAUGCCUGUAUUUUCUUUUGAAUCUAUUUAAAUAAUAUUCAGAGAGUCAACCAAGACUGCUUUGAGUUUUGCAACAUCCUGGAACAGUAAGAGAGAUAAGCUCCCUAUCCUUGAAACAUGACCAGAGUUUGUUAGCUUUUCUAUUCCUGGCAUCAUCAGUGAAUCGUUGUGUAAUCGUAGUCACUUAGACCCUGAUCCUGCAAAUUCUUGUCUGCAGUAGAGUUCUCAAAUGCAGGGCUUUAAACAUAAAUAUCAGAGAAACCAAGGCCUUAACUUCUUGAGGUGUCAGUUUUCCAUCUGCACCACUGUGGAAAUCUUUCUAUUCUUUGCAAAAUAUUUUGCUACAUGCGCACAACACAUGACUGGCAGACACUUAACUGUUUUCAUAUGAGGCAAUAAAGUCAGCCCAUAAUCACAUUUUAGAGCUUUAAACAAAGCAUGCAGAAAGUUAAUUACUCUGAUUGGCUCAGCCAAGACAUAUUAAAUCUAGCAGACAAACUCUCUUGUACAUUACAAAGAAAAAGCCAUGCAUCUAGAGCAUCCUAGUCUGAUGACAGCCAGCACUACUGUUGACCACAUGAUCCCAUGGGCAAUAACUGAUCACACAGGAGCUUCUGUACCUUCCUGUGACAUUUUUGAUUCUCUACUACUAAACAAACUAGUGAGAUGGUUUACAUUAUCACAAGUAUGUAUUUACACAUAUAAAAAAGUAAAAGCAACUGCUCUCCAGUAAAAGCUAGUCUUUGCUAUCAGUUCUUCUUUCCCUGAAGAAAGUUGAGGGCCUACACUUGUAUUUAAGAAGUGGAACCCUUUCAGCAAAUGACAGUUAAUACUACAAGUGCUUUGAUAAACUGAUUGUUGUUUUGUUUCCAUUCUGCAGUUACCAGUGCUAGGUACUAGUUAGCAAUAAUUACUAAAUCAGCUGCUAGUAAUUUUAUAUGUCAUGCUACACACAAACCAUUAGCUGUAAGGAGCACCUUAGGACAGCAACAUGUGCACUGAAUAUUCAUCUUAUGGGAUAAACAUAAGGACGUGAUGUAACCUCCAGGACUACCAAGACAGUCAGGAAAACAAAGACAAAAAAAACUAUGAAAGAAAAGAUCAGGAAAAAGAUUUGAGGUCAGAGUUGAGUUACAUCAUUUUAUGUUAGUCACUUACACAUAUCACUAUUUAUUGAAGUUAGUUUUUGCAUGAUUGUUCAUUCAACUCUUCUUCUCAGGAGCUCUUAUACAAAGAAAACACACCAAUACACAAAAUCCCAGACAGAUGUCCAAUUCAUACCUUUCGUGGUGUAUUUAUCCAGGCCAGAUGACAGAAAUGAGAGUCCACAGAAACUGCAACCACUUCACAGUUCACAUCACGAAAUUCAUUUGCUUUGUUACUGAAAGCUACAAUU
Long non-coding RNA from Dromaius novaehollandiae (emu), 3255 nucleotides. RefSeq lists it as uncharacterized. The record is from RefSeq and is a predicted model, not a curated record. The transcript is spliced from 2 exons. Lineage: Eukaryota; Metazoa; Chordata; Aves; Casuariiformes; Dromaiidae.